RNAcentral lists this long non-coding RNA (557 nucleotides) under Sparus aurata (gilthead seabream). Its description in RNAcentral is "lncRNA (ENSSAUG00010016768.1)". Lineage: Eukaryota; Metazoa; Chordata; Actinopteri; Spariformes; Sparidae. The record is from RNAcentral.
CACAGUUAGACAGACAUCUUGGGUUUGCUUGGUGUCAAACUGUGGCCCCAGACAAGUCACAAUGACUUCUGUUGUCUUCCUUCAGACUCACUGGUCUGCGGCAAAGUUUGAGAACCCUGCCACUGGCCCUUUCACAGGGUGUGAGAUCAGGCAUUGAGUCACUCAAGGAGACAUUUACACGUAGGUGGCACGACACUCUCUUGACAAAUGUUUUCAGAAAAGCGCAAAACCCAUGCUUUAAUGAUAGCUGUAUUGAUGCCAUGCCAUUAUCUCGAUCUUCUCUCAAACAGGUUGCUCAGUUCCAGCUUCCUUCAUGUGCAAGCGGACCCCAGUCAAUGAGGACCUCAUCUGUGCUGCAGUCGAUAGGUAGGUGACUGACUGUUUUGUGCGGUGCUGAGUUUUGGGCAGGUAAAGUUCUUUUACGCGAUCCAGCUACGGCCUGAACGUCUUUCUUUUCGCCGCUUUUCUCAGAUCACAACUCAAUCAGAACCUGUCUCCUGGCAAUUCCUCCAAAUCUCUGUGCAGUUUCACCAUCACUGACCACGCCUGUUCCUCGG